CACUUCUCUCCUGGUGAACAAGUGGAAGGAGGAUGGCUGGGAUGAUGCCGAAGCCGUUUUUUCAGGGCAGGAGGGGAAGAUAAACUGUGUGACGUUCCCUCACCCAGACACGAUGCCGGAACAGCAGCUGCUGAAACCAACCGAGUGGAGCUACUGCGACUACUUCUGGGCUGAUAAGAAGGACCCCCAAGGCAACGGCACUGUGGCUGGGUUUGAACUACUGCUCCAGAAACAGCUGAAGGGCAAACAAAUGCAGAAGGAAAUGUCAGAAUUCAUCCGGGAAAGGAUAAAGAUUGAAGAAGACUAUGCGAAGAACUUAGCUAAGCUCUCUCAGAACUCCUUGGCUUCACAGGAGGAAGGCUCCUUGGGAGAGGCGUGGGCCCAGGUGAAGAAGAGCCUGGCGGACGAAGCAGAAGUUCACCUCAAGUUCUCUGCCAAGCUUCACAGCGAGGUGGAGAAGCCCCUGAUGAACUUCCGUGAGAACUUCAAGAAAGACAUGAAGAAGUGCGACCACCACAUUGCCGACCUUCGCAAGCAG
Molecule: small RNA, 538 nt
Filed under: Pan troglodytes (chimpanzee)
Lineage: Eukaryota; Metazoa; Chordata; Mammalia; Primates; Hominidae
Description: processed transcript
Source: RNAcentral